Long non-coding RNA from Teleopsis dalmanni, 564 nucleotides. RefSeq lists it as uncharacterized. NCBI's taxonomy places the organism in Eukaryota, Metazoa, Arthropoda, Insecta, Diptera, Diopsidae. The record is from RefSeq and is a predicted model, not a curated record. The transcript is spliced from 2 exons.
UACAUACAAAAUAUAGAAAAAAUUGUACAUUUUCAGUUCAGUUCACUUCUUCAGCUAAAAAAGUUUUAAGUUUACGUCCAAAAAUGCUAAAGAUAUAUGCGCCUGCUCCUCGUAUACUAAAAAGCCUGAUUGCUAUAACUGAAAAAGGUAGUGGAGAAGCAAACGAGGAUCAAACUCAAAAUGUACAAACAACUGUUAGCACCCGCAUACAUGUUGAUGACAAUAAUACUAUAAUUAAAGUACGUCUUUUGCUGAUUACCGUUCAAAACUACCCUUUCGAUGGUUGGAUCUAUAGGACUGCUGAAAGGCGUCAUGUCGUACUGCUUGCUAACUACUAACUACUAACUACUGAAUGUGGAAGUCAGUCUCUUCUUCACAACCAAAAUGUUAUUAACGGAAAGAAGGGAGAUUUUACAGACAUCAUCCAGAUUUAUCAAGAUUUACAAUUUUAAAGCUGUGAUGGUGUUUUGUAGCAGCCCAGACGAAAAGAAGAGGAGAUGGCAAUAACAUUAUUACAUAUACGUGUAUAUGUAAAUUAAAUAAAAACUUAAUUUUUUAAUUUAA